GAAAGCAAGAAAUCCAACCAUUUCCUGCUUCCUAGCUAAUCUAAAUCUCCUGGCGCAGCAGAACAGCUGAUGGUCGGAAAAAUAGCAACUUAGCAGACAGGUUUACUGGGUAAGGAGUGAGUGGGCGGGGAGGGUUUCCGCGGGCCAUGUGGGCUGAGCAGCCUUCUGUUUCUACGCAGCCUGGAUUAAUUGCUUUGGGGGGGGGUGCUCUGGGGCUGAGAUUUUCUCACGGCCCAUCAGUGAGCCAUGGCCCAUCGGUUGGCGACCACUGUUCUAUACAGGAAUGAAUUCUCUCCAUCUUCCUAUUAAUUUUCCUGUUGCUUGGUAUCUUUUAGGACUACAAGGUUCCAGGGACACGGCGGCUGCAUGAAGUAUUAGGGGUAGAGAGUGGGGGCCCAGGUGGACGCCGUGCAGGAGAGCAGGGCCAUUCACCUUCUGACUACCUGAAGUUCAAGGAUUUAGUGCUGCGCAUGCUGGACUAUGAACCCCGUAGCCGCAUCACUCCCUUCUAUGCCCUGCAGCAUAACUUUUUCAAGAAAACUGCUGAUGAGGGCACCAAUACGAGUGCCAGCACCUCACCAAGCCUGGGAACAGAGCAUAGCCACUCCACCAGCACCACCAGUUCUGUGUCCAGUUCAGGUAUGCAUCUCUCCUUCCCUUCUCCCCUUCUUUCUAGCUCUCCUCCUCAUGUUCCCAGCACUCCUGUUCCAUCUUCAGCUUGGAGAGUUUCACACUAGUGCAAAUACUAGUGAAAAAUACACUAGUGAAAAAUACUGGUGAGUAUUCUUUUCUCCACUGUCCUGUCUUUGCAUAGGUGGUUCCAGUGGUUCUUCCAAUGACAACCGUGGUUACCGCUACAGCAAUCGUUACUACAGCAACAUGGGCACAGUGCAUGCUGACUGUGAGAUGCAGAGUCCCCAGGCGCUUCCUCAGCAGCAGAUGCGCCUCUGGGCCAGCGGUGACAACGAGGGAAUUCCUCACAUCUUACCUCAUAAGCCCACACCUAGUCAGGCCAUGCCAUGUUUCCCCCCAAGCGGGCACCCUCCGUACCAGCGCCCUCCACUCCCGCUAUCUCCUCCACUCCCGGAGGCCAUGGAGGUGUCUCUGGGCCCUCGCCAUCUGGACUGCAACCCCACUGGGCUGGGCUCCUCCGGCUUGCACUUGGGCGCCUCGGCCUUCCGGACUAGGACUGCUGGCGGCUCACGCCCUGAGGGACUUGGCCUCAACUACCCACUUCGUGGCCGUGGGCACCGAGACACUGACGAGACUGCACUGA
Molecule: long non-coding RNA, 1276 nt
Filed under: Laticauda laticaudata (blue-ringed sea krait)
Lineage: Eukaryota; Metazoa; Chordata; Lepidosauria; Squamata; Elapidae
Description: lncRNA (ENSLLTG00000010925.1)
Source: RNAcentral